Long non-coding RNA from Lemur catta (Ring-tailed lemur), 415 nucleotides. RefSeq lists it as uncharacterized. The record is from RefSeq and is a predicted model, not a curated record. The transcript has 3 exons. NCBI's taxonomy places the organism in Eukaryota, Metazoa, Chordata, Mammalia, Primates, Lemuridae.
CUCAUAGGUAUGUUUAUGGGUAAAUGCUAAUAUUUUCGUCUUCUCUCUCCUUUCCAUUAAAAAAAAUUUUAGGUACAAGUUGCUAGAGGUUAACCCUACAAUGAGUCUUUAUACAACAGACUAUUCGGUGGAACUGGAAUGGAUUCUGAGUGGCGAUUAAUGUAGCCGCAGCGGUGUAUACAGUGACUGCAGGGCUGUGUGCAUUGCCUCAUUUUGAAAAGACAAGAAAAAACAGAAUGGGCAUGUUGCCACAGAUACAGAUGUAGGACACAUGGGAGAAACAUUCUGGAAGUCGGGGCGGGGAAGGUGUGAGAAGAUGAGUGCACAGCUGAGGACUUUGUCCGAACAGCACCAAGGCUGAACCAGUCAGGUUUCGAAAUAAUUUUGAUGAUCCUUUCCAAACUGGUGGUGUUUC